UGGGUUUGACAUGUUCCUGACCCCCCUGGAAACAGGGGUUCCCUUCGGGGCAGGAUCACAGGUGGUGCAUGGCUGUCGUCAGCUCGUGUCGUGAGAUGUUGGGUUAAGUCCCGCAACGAGCGCAACCCCCGUCGUAUGUUGCCAGCAUUUAGUUGGGUACUCAUACGAGACUGCCGGUGACAAACCGGAGGAAGGUGGGGAUGACGUCAAGUCAUCAUGCCCCUUAUGUCCAGGGCUACACA
This 242-nucleotide ribosomal RNA is filed under the name uncultured bacterium. Its description in RNAcentral is "partial 16S ribosomal RNA". It matches the Rfam family "Bacterial small subunit ribosomal RNA", at positions 976 to 1220 of the family's 1533-position model. The record is from RNAcentral.